GACGAACGCUGGCGGCGUGCUUAACACAUGCAAGUCGAACGGAAAGGCCUGCUUUCCCUUGUGGAUUGCGGGUACUCGAGUGGCGAACGGAUGAGUAACACGUGAGUGAUCUGCCCCCAACUUGGGUAUAAGCCUGGGAAACUGGGUCUAAUUCCCGAUAGGACUGCAGGGUGGUGCCUGUGGUGGAAAACGAUUUUCUAGUGGUUGGGGAUGAGCUCGCGGCCUAUCAGCUUGUUGGUGGGGUAAUGGCCUACCAAGGCGGCGACGGGUAGCCGGCCUGGGAGGGUGGACGGCCACAUUGGGACUGAGAUACGGCCCAGACUCCUACGGGAGGCAGCAGUGGGGAAUAUUGCACAAUGGGCGGAAGCCUGAUGCAGCGACGCCGCGUGGGGGAUGACGGCCUUCGGGUUGUAAACUCCUUUCGACCGCGAGGAAGCCACCUGGUUGGAAGGGUGGUGACGGUAGUGGUAGAAGAAGCACCGGCUAACUACGUG
This 494-nucleotide ribosomal RNA is filed under the name uncultured bacterium. Its description in RNAcentral is "partial 16S ribosomal RNA". It matches the Rfam family "Bacterial small subunit ribosomal RNA", at positions 28 to 507 of the family's 1533-position model. The record is from RNAcentral.